AAUUUAAUACAACUUUUAACAACGGAUCUCUUGGCUCUCGCAUCGAUGAAGAACGCAGCGAAAUGCGAUAAGUAAUGUGAAUUGCAGAAUUCAGUGAAUCAUCGAAUCUUUGAACGCACCUUGCGCUCCCUGGUAUUCCGGGGAGCACGCCUGUUCGAGUGUCAUGAAACUCUCAAGCAAGAUAGAUUUAUUUCUAUCUCUGUUUGGAUAUGGACUCUGCCGCGUCAAUGCGGCUGGUCUUAAAUAUAUUAGCUGGUCCUAGUGAAGGUUUGGUUCUACUCAGCAUGAUAAUUAUCUGAUGUUGAGGACAGUCUUAGGACUGGCCAGGCUCUCUCUGGAUUGCUUCUAAUCGUCUUUGGACAAUUAAUCAAUAUCUGACCUCGAAUCAGGUGGGACUACCCGCUGAACUUAAGCAUAUCAAU
Molecule: ribosomal RNA, 422 nt
Filed under: uncultured fungus
Lineage: Eukaryota; Fungi
Description: eukaryotic LSU rRNA
Rfam family: 5.8S ribosomal RNA (bases 11-164)
Source: RNAcentral